AUACGUAGGGGGCGAGCGUUAUCCGGAUUUAUUGGGCGUAAAGCGCGCGCAGGCGGUCAGGUAAGUCGGAUGUGAAAGGCUACGGCUCAACCGUAGAGCGGCAUCCGAAACUGUUUGACUUGAGUGCAGGAGAGGAGAGUGGAAUUCCCGGUGUAGCGGUGGAAUGCGUAGAGAUCGGGAGGAACACCAGUGGCGAAGGCGACUCUCUGGACUGUAACUGACGCUGAGGCGCGAAAGCGUGGGGAGCAAACAGGAUUAGAUACCCUGGUAGUCCACGCCGUAAACGAUGAGUGCUAGGUGUUGGGGGGACCCCCCUCAGUGCCGCAGGUAACCCAAUAAGCACUCCGCCUGGGGAGUACGGUCGCAAGACUGAA
Molecule: ribosomal RNA, 374 nt
Filed under: uncultured bacterium
Lineage: Bacteria
Description: bacterial SSU rRNA
Rfam family: Bacterial small subunit ribosomal RNA
Source: RNAcentral